RNAcentral lists this ribosomal RNA (467 nucleotides) under uncultured bacterium. Its description in RNAcentral is "partial 16S ribosomal RNA". It matches the Rfam family "Bacterial small subunit ribosomal RNA", at positions 29 to 507 of the family's 1533-position model. The record is from RNAcentral.
ACGAACGCUGGCGGCGUGCUUAACACGUGCAAGUCGCACGGAAAGGCCCUGCUUUUGUGGGGUGCUCGAGUGGCGAACGGGUGAGUAACACGUGAGUAACCUGCCCUUGACUUUGGGAUAACUUCAGGAAACUGGGGCUAAUACCGGAUAGGAGCUCCUGCUGCAUGGUGGGGGUUGGAAAGUUUCGGCGGUUGGGGAUGGACUCGCGGCUUAUCAGCUUGUUGGUGGGGUAGUGGCUUACCAAGGCUUUGACGGGUAGCCGGCCUGAGAGGGUGACCGGCCACAUUGGGACUGAGAUACGGCCCAGACUCCUACGGGAGGCAGCAGUGGGGAAUAUUGCACAAUGGGCGGAAGCCUGAUGCAGCAACGCCGCGUGCGGGAUGACGGCCUUCGGGUUGUAAACCGCUUUCGCCUGUGACGAAGCGUGAGUGACGGUAAUGGGUAAAGAAGCACCGGCUAACUACGUG